CAACUUUAAAAAGGGUCAAACAGCUAGUUUGGUUCAAAAACCAUACUUCGUUGCAUACUUGCAUUGGCAGAUUGCAUUUAUUUUCCGCACAGGGGGGUUGAGGACAUCUUUUUACCAGCUAAAUUGUGACCCCCUGGAAUUCAGUUUAUAUACCCCCUCCCUGGAAUUUCCUGGGAAUUCAUUGCUAGACACCCCUGGAAAAUGGCUUUAAUUGCAGACCAUCCCCUGGAUUUUGGCCUCUAAUCACCCCACCCCCUGGAUUUCUGCAGUCUUUUUCACCCUCCCCCUGGAUUUUCCAAGGCCUUUUUUACUCCCCUCCCCUGGAUUUUCCAUUGUCCUCAACCCCCCUUGUGCGGAAAAUAAAUGCAAUCUGCCAUUAUCUGCCACUCUGGCAGGGCCUUCCCGACUUCAUUUCAAUCUUUCCAUCACACCGCGCGCGCUCACUUUUAUUCAGGAAACUUCAUGUAAGUUAUUUGUAAAUAUAUAAUUAAAUCUUACGGUUUCAUACAGCAAGAAAUGCUGUCUAUAUAUUGCUUUCUUGUUGGUUUCAUUAAUAAAAAAUGUGUUAAAUAAACAUUUUUUAAGAUUGGAGAUUUGACUGGAC
This is a non-coding RNA of Paramuricea clavata, 604 nucleotides long. Lineage: Eukaryota; Metazoa; Cnidaria; Anthozoa; Malacalcyonacea; Plexauridae. The record is from the annotation of a GenBank genome assembly.